Molecule: ribosomal RNA, 491 nt
Filed under: uncultured bacterium
Lineage: Bacteria
Description: partial 16S ribosomal RNA
Rfam family: Bacterial small subunit ribosomal RNA
Source: RNAcentral
GACGAACGCUGGCGGCGUGCCUAAUACAUGCAAGUAGAACGCUGAAGAGAGGAGCUUGCUCUUCUUGAAUGAGUUGCGAACGGGUGAGUAACGCGUAGGUAACCUGCCUUGUAGCGGGGGAUAACUAUUGGAAACGAUAGCUAAUACCGCAUAACAAUGGGUGACACAUGUCAUUUAUUUGAAAGGGGCAAUUGCUCCACUACAAGAUGGACCUGCGUUGUAUUAGCUAGUAGGUGAGGUAACGGCUCACCUAGGCGACGAUACAUAGCCGACCUGAGAGGGUGAUCGGCCACACUGGGACUGAGACACGGCCCAGACUCCUACGGGAGGAAGCAGUGAGGAAUAUUGGACAAUGGGUGAGAGCCUGAUCCAGCCAUCCCGCGUGAAGGAUGACGGUCCUAUGGAUUGUAAACUUCUUUUGUACAGGGAUAAACCUACUCUCGUGAGGGUAGCUGAAGGUACUGUACGAAUAAGCACCGGCUAACUCCGUG